RNAcentral lists this long non-coding RNA (536 nucleotides) under Panax ginseng (ginseng). RNAcentral describes it as "long non-coding RNA (PGIN_LNC007269)". Lineage: Eukaryota; Viridiplantae; Streptophyta; Magnoliopsida; Apiales; Araliaceae. The record is from RNAcentral.
AGAGUUUAAAAAUAUCCAAAUUGUCAACAUGAUACUAUUUUGUGGAGUAAAAUUCAAGAAUAAUAUUCAUGUAUCAAGAAUAAUUUGGACAGAAAAAAAUCAAUUUUUUAUCGUGAAUAAUACCCCAUAAAUAGUACCUAGUGAAUAGUACCUCAUGAAUAGUACCCCAUGAAUAGUACCCCGUAUUCAUAAAUAGUGCCGUAUAAAUAAAUAGUGUUGUAUACAUAAAUAGUGUCAUAUACAUGAAUAGUGCCGUAUACGUGAAUAGUACCGUAUACGUGAAUAGUAAUCCUGACAUGAAAAAGAUAAAGUUUCACAAUAAAAUUAAUAUCAAUAUUUUGGUAUAAUGAUAUUAAAGGAAAUAACAUCAUUUACUUGAAAAAAAUAACAUCCCUUACCUCAAAAGAAUAACACUUCUAACUGAAAUAUCGGAUAUAAUACUAAAGGAAACUUGCAUUGUAUAGCAACACUCAAGAUAUUUAAAUACUCACAAAAAUACGCUCGAUAUUAUAGAGAGAGAAAACUUCUGAUUCUGG